CAGUCGCCGCGGUAAUACGAAGGGUGCAAGCGUUAUCCGGAUUCACUGGGUUUAAAGGGUGCGUAGGCGGAUCUGUAAGUCAGUGGUGAAAUCUCCAGGCUUAACCUGGAAACUGCCGUUGAUACUAUAGGUCUUGAAUUUUGUGGAGGUUAGCGGAAUAUGUCAUGUAGCGGUGAAAUGCAUAGAUAUGACAUAGAACACCAAUUGCGAAGGCAGCUGGCUACACAACUAUUGACGCUGAGGCACGAAAGCGUGGGGAUCAAACAGGAUUAGAUACCCCCGUAGUCCCUGUCUCUUAUAC
This 301-nucleotide ribosomal RNA is filed under the name uncultured bacterium. Its description in RNAcentral is "partial 16S ribosomal RNA". It matches the Rfam family "Bacterial small subunit ribosomal RNA", at positions 509 to 807 of the family's 1533-position model. The record is from RNAcentral.